GGACGUGAAGGCACUCUGGCUGUGACAUCUGUCACCCCAUUGAUCGCCAGGGUUGAUUCAGCUCAUCUGGCUGGCCACCCGGGUGUUCCCUUCCUCUCUCUCCACUCCAUGUGCUUCCCUCCUGAAGCUGCACACUCAGUGGAAGAGGACGGCCACCCCAAUAGAGGAGGACCAUUUCCUCAGUCAAGGGUAUACGAGCAGCUGUGCUCCCAGGCUAGAACCUCCACACAAGCUCUCAAGGUCCAUAAUGACGCCAUGCCACCUGCUCACAGCAUUGUCAUGUGGCUAA
This 289-nucleotide small nuclear RNA is filed under the name Heterocephalus glaber (naked mole-rat). RNAcentral's name for it is "7SK RNA". It matches the Rfam family "7SK RNA". Rfam says of the family: 7SK was discovered as an abundant small nuclear RNA in the mid-70s but a possible function has only recently been suggested. Two independent studies have found that 7SK RNA binds the CDK9/cyclin T complex (known as elongation factor P-TEFb). P-TEFb activates transcription by phosphorylating the C-terminal domain of RNA polymerase II. The record is from Rfam by way of RNAcentral. Lineage: Eukaryota; Metazoa; Chordata; Mammalia; Rodentia; Bathyergidae.